Molecule: ribosomal RNA, 484 nt
Filed under: uncultured bacterium
Lineage: Bacteria
Description: partial 16S ribosomal RNA
Rfam family: Bacterial small subunit ribosomal RNA
Source: RNAcentral
AUUGAACGCUGGCGGCAGGCCUAACACAUGCAAGUCGAGCGGAUGAAGGGAGCUUGCUCCUGGAUUCAGCGGCGGACGGGUGAGUAAUGCCUAGGAAUCUGCCUGGUAGUGGGGGAUAACGUCCGGAAACGGGCGCUAAUACCGCAUACGUCCUGAGGGAGAAAGUGGGGGAUCUUCGGACCUCACGCUAUCAGAUGAGCCUAGGUCGGAUUAGCUAGUUGGUGGGGUAAAGGCCUACCAAGGCGACGAUCCGUAACUGGUCUGAGAGGAUGAUCAGUCACACUGGAACUGAGACACGGCCCAGACUCCUACGGGAGGCAGCAGUGGGGAAUAUUGGACGAUGCGCGAAAGCCUGAUCCAGCCAUGCCGCGUGUGUGAAGAAGGUCUUCGGAUUGUAAAGCACUUUAAGUUGGGAGGAAGGGCAGUAAGUUAAUACCUUGCUGUUUUGACGUUACCAACAGAAUAAGCACCGGCUAACUUCGUG